ACCCUUGUGGAGGAGGACGCCGAAGGUGGGGCUAAUGACUGGGGUGAAGUCGUAACAAGGUAGCCGUACCGGAAGGUGCGGCUGGAUCACCUCCUAACAGGGAGACAACAAAAUGUUUAAUAUUAUUAUUUUGUCACCUUAGGUCGAUCGGUAUCUCACAUUCUUAAUUUAUUAAGGAUUUCAUUUCCUAAGUUUUUUCUAGGUCACACCCAUUACUUUUCCUGGGCCAUUAGCUCAGGUGGUUAGAGCGCACCCCUGAUAAGGGUGAGGUCCCUGGUUCAAGUCCAGGAUGGCCCAUAUCUCUAUGUUGGGGGUAUAGCUCAGUUGGUAGAGCGCCUGCUUUGCAAGCAGGAUGUCAGCGGUUCGAGUCCGCUUACCUCCACUGAUUACCACCUCUUCCAUAAUUUUAUUUAAGGAAAUGUUUUGAGUAGUGAUCAAAUUCUGAACGAAUCUAGCUUCCUAAUGAAUUCAUUAAGAUGCUGGACUCAUUGAAUUAUUUUCAUUGUUUUCAGAGAACCUUGACAACUGCAUAGAUUAUUUUUAAAGACAAUAAGCAUCUUUAUGAUGCAGAUUUAUUAUUUGUGCGAAUGCAUUAAUAACAAUUCUAUUAAGCUGAUGCUUCAAUUAUGAAGUUAUUGGUCAAGCUACAAAGGGCUCACGGAGGAUACCUAGGCACACAGA
This 681-nucleotide unclassified non-coding RNA is filed under the name uncultured Prochlorococcus sp. RNAcentral describes it as "partial may contain 16S ribosomal RNA, 16S-23S ribosomal RNA intergenic spacer, and 23S ribosomal RNA". The stretch from base 1 to 97 matches the Rfam family "Bacterial small subunit ribosomal RNA", at positions 1437 to 1533 of the family's 1533-position model. Lineage: Bacteria; Bacillati; Cyanobacteriota; Cyanophyceae; Synechococcales; Prochlorococcaceae. The record is from RNAcentral.